AGUUCGGAUCGCAGUCUGCAACCCGGCUGCGUGAAGCUGGAAUCGCUAGUAAUCGCGGAUCAGAAUGCCGCGGUGAAUACGUUCCCGGGUCUUGUACACACCGCCCGUCACACCAUGGGAGCCGGAAACGCCCGAAGCCAGUGGCCUGACCGCAAGGAGGGAGCUGUCGAAGGCGGGUCCGGUGACCGGGGUGAAGUCGUAACAAGGUAUC
RNAcentral lists this ribosomal RNA (211 nucleotides) under uncultured bacterium. Its description in RNAcentral is "partial 16S ribosomal RNA". It matches the Rfam family "Bacterial small subunit ribosomal RNA", at positions 1290 to 1500 of the family's 1533-position model. The record is from RNAcentral.